RNAcentral lists this ribosomal RNA (969 nucleotides) under Triticum aestivum (bread wheat). RNAcentral's name for it is "partial small subunit ribosomal RNA". The record is from RNAcentral. Lineage: Eukaryota; Viridiplantae; Streptophyta; Magnoliopsida; Poales; Poaceae.
AUGGCUCCGAUGCUCAAGCGUAUCGUGGAGGACGAGCCCAAGAAGGAGGCGUACGUGACUUUCCUCGCCGGCUCCGGCGACUACUGGAAGGGCGUGGUGGGCCUGGCCAAGGGCCUCCGCGCCGUCAACUCCGCCUACCCACUCGUGGUGGCCGUGCUCCCCGACGUCCCCGAGGACCACCGCCGCAGGCUGGUCGAACAGGGCUGCCUCGUCCGCGAGAUCGAGCCGGUGUACCCGCCGGAGAGCCAGACCCAGUUCGCCAUGGCGUACUACGUCAUCAACUACUCCAAGCUCCGCAUCUGGGAGUUCGUGGAGUACGAGAGGAUGGUGUACCUGGACGCGGACAUCCAGGUGUUCGACAACAUAGACCACCUGUUCGACCUCGACAAGGGCAGCUUCUACGCCGUCAUGGACUGCUUCUGCGAGAAGACGUGGAGCCACACCCUACAGUACAAGAUCGGCUACUGCCAGCAGUGCCCGGACCGGGUGGCGUGGCCGGAGCGCGAGCUGGGCGUGCCCCCGCCGCCGCUCUACUUCAACGCCGGCAUGUUCGUGCACGAGCCCAGCCUCGCCACCGCCAAGGCCCUUCUCGACAAGCUCGUCGUCACCGACCCGACCCCGUUUGCUGAGCAGGACUUUCUCAACAUGUUCUUCAGGGACGUGUACAAGCCCAUCCCGCCCGUGUACAACCUCGUGCUCGCCAUGCUCUGGAGGCACCCCGAGAACGUCGAGCUCAAGAAGGUCAAGGUCGUGCACUACUGCGCCGCGGGUUCGAAGCCUUGGAGGUUCACCGGCGAGGAGGCCAACAUGGAGAGGGAGGACAUCAAGAUGCUCGUGAAGAAAUGGUGGGACAUCUACAACGACGAGGGCCUCGACUACAAGGCCGGCGAUGAGACCACCAACCUGCUACGUGGAGCUCUUGUUGAGGCCGGCGCCGUGAAGUACUUCCCGGCGCCCUCGGCCGCGUAG